RNAcentral lists this ribosomal RNA (468 nucleotides) under uncultured bacterium. RNAcentral describes it as "partial 16S ribosomal RNA". It matches the Rfam family "Bacterial small subunit ribosomal RNA", at positions 28 to 507 of the family's 1533-position model. The record is from RNAcentral.
GACGAACGCUGGCGGCGUGCUUAACACAUGCAAGUCGAACGGAAAGGCCCUGCUUUUGUGGGGUGCUCGAGUGGCGAACGGGUGAGUAACACGUGAGUAACCUGCCCUUGACUUUGGGAUAACUUCAGGAAACUGGGGCUAAUACCGGAUAGGAGCCCCUGCUGCAUGGUGGGGGUUGGAAAGUUUCGGCGGUUGGGGAUGGACUCGCGGCUUAUCAGCUUGUUGGUGGGGUAGUGGCUUACCAAGGCUUUGACGGGUAGCCGGCCUGAGAGGGUGACCGGCCACAUUGGGACUGAGAUACGGCCCAGACUCCUACGGUAGGCAGAAGUGGGGAAUAUUGCACAAUGGGCGGAAGCCUGAUGCAGCAACGCCGCGUGCGGGAUGACGGCCUUCGGGUUGUAAACCGCUUUCGCCUGUGACGAAGCGUGAGUGACGGUAAUGGGUAAAGAAGCACCGGCUAACUACGUG